UGGGGAAUAUUGGGCAAUGGGGGCAACCCUGACCCAGCGACGCCGCGUGAGGGAAGAAGGUUUUCGGAUUGUAAACCUCUGUCCUCUGUGAAGAUAAUGACGGUAGCAGAGGAGGAAGCCACGGCUAACUACGUGCCAGCAGCCGCGGUAAUACGUAGGGGGCGAGCGUUAUCCGGAAUUACUGGGUGUAAAGCGUUCGUAGGCGGUAUGUCAAGUCUGGUGUUAAAGCCCGAGGCUCAACCUCGGUUCGGCAUUGGAUACUGGCAAACUAGAAUGUGGUAGAGGUAAAGGGAAUUCCUGGUGUAGCGGUGAAAUGCGUAGAUAUCAGGAGGAACAUCGGUGGCGAAAGCGCUUUACUGGACCAUUAUUGACGCUGAGGAACGAAAGCCAGGGGAGCAAAUG
Molecule: ribosomal RNA, 402 nt
Filed under: uncultured bacterium
Lineage: Bacteria
Description: bacterial SSU rRNA
Rfam family: Bacterial small subunit ribosomal RNA
Source: RNAcentral